AAAAUAAUAGUUUAUUUAAAAUUUUUAAUUUGCAAUUAAAAGAAUAUUUUUUAUUAUUUUA
RNAcentral lists this transfer RNA (61 nucleotides) under Aleurodicus dugesii (Doogie Howzer whitefly). Its description in RNAcentral is "tRNA-Ala". Lineage: Eukaryota; Metazoa; Arthropoda; Insecta; Hemiptera; Aleyrodidae. The record is from RNAcentral.